GGGGAACUGAAACAUCUAAGUACCCGCAGGAAAGUAAAGAAAUUUCGAUUCCCCCAGUAGCGGCGAGCGAACGGGGAACAGCCCAAACCAAGAAGCUUGCUUCUUGGGGUUGUAGGACUGGACAUUUGAGUUAACAAGAAAGACUGUAGCUAAACGACUUGGGAAGGUCGGCCAGAGCGGGUGACAGCCCCGUAAGCGAAACAGUUUUUCCUCAGCCCAGGAUCCUGAGUACGGCGGAACACGUGUAACUCCGUCGGAAACCGGGAGGACCAUCUCCCAAGGCUAAAUACUACCUAGUGACCGAUAGUGAACCAGUACCGUGAGGGAAAGGUGAAAAGCACCCCGGGAGGGGAGUGAAAUAGUUCCUGAAACCAUGUGCCUACAAGUAGUCAGAGCCCGUUAAGGGGUGAUGGCGUGCCUUUUGUAGAAUGAACCGGCGAGUUACGUUAACGUGCCAGGUUAAGGUGGAAAGACCGGAGCCGCAGCGAAAGCGAGUCUGAACAGGGCGCACGAGUACGUUGACGUAGACCCGAAACCAAGUGACCUACCCAUGUCCAGGUUGAAAGUGCGGUAAAACGCACCGGAGGACCGAACCCAUGUAUGUUGAAAAAUGCUGGGAUGAGGUGUGGGUAGCGGUGAAAUUCCAAACGAACUUGGAGAUAGCUGGUUCUCUCCGAAAUAGCUUUAGGGCUAGCCUCGGAAGUUAAGGAUCGUGGAGGUAGAGCACUGUUUGGACUAGGGGCCCGUCUUGGGUUACUGAAUUCAGAUAAACUCCGAAUGCCACUGAUCUUGUUCCGGGAGUCAGACUGCGAGUGAUAAGAUCCGUAGUCGAAAGGGAAACAGCCCAGACCACCAAUUAAGGUCCCUAAAUAUGUGUUAAGUGGAAAAGGAUGUGGGAUCGCACAGACAACUAGGAUGUUGGCUCAGAAGCAGCCACCAUUCAAAGAGUGCGUAAUAGCUCACUAGUCGAGUGAUCCUGCGCCGAAAAUGUAACGGGGCUAAACACAUUACCGAAAUUGUGGAUCCGACCUUUGGGUCGGGUGAUAGGAGAGCGUUCUAAGGGCGAAGAAGCCAGACCGCAAGGACUGGUGGAGCGCUUAGAAGUGAGAAUGCCGGUAUGAGUAGCGCAAGGUCAGUGAGAAUCUGACCCACCGUAUGACUAAGGUUUCCUGGGGAAGGCUCGUCCUCCCAGGGUUAGUCGGGACCUAAGCUGAGGCCAAGAGGCGUAAGCGAUGGAUAACAGGUGGAGAUUCCUGUACUGAUCAGAUCUGUUUGAGCAAUGGAGGGACGCAGGAGGCUAACGGAGCGUGCAGCUGGAAUUGCACGUCCAAGCAGCGAGUCGCAAAACGAGUGAAAGGCUUGUUUUGGUGGUAGAUGAGCUGUGAUGGGGAGCGAAAUUUAAGUAGCGAAGGAAGUCAUGUCACACUGCCGAGAAAAGCUUCUAGCGAAGAUCUGAUCACCCGUACCGCAAACCGACACAGGUAGUCGAGGAGAGUAUCCUCAGGUGAGCGAGUGAACUCUCGUUAAGGAACUCGGCAAAAUGACCCCGUAACUUCGGGAGAAGGGGUGCUGGUCGACAGACCAGCCGCAGUGAAUAGGCCCAGGCGACUGUUUAUCAAAAACACAGGUUUCUGCAAAAUCGUAAGAUGAUGUAUAGGGGCUGACGCCUGCCCGGUGCUGGAAGGUUAAGAGGAUGAGU
This 1699-nucleotide ribosomal RNA is filed under the name Ligilactobacillus pobuzihii. Its description in RNAcentral is "partial 23S ribosomal RNA". It matches the Rfam family "Bacterial large subunit ribosomal RNA", at positions 187 to 1890 of the family's 2925-position model. Lineage: Bacteria; Bacillati; Bacillota; Bacilli; Lactobacillales; Lactobacillaceae. The record is from RNAcentral.